Long non-coding RNA from Mobula hypostoma (lesser devil ray), 2672 nucleotides. RefSeq lists it as uncharacterized. The record is from RefSeq and is a predicted model, not a curated record. Lineage: Eukaryota; Metazoa; Chordata; Chondrichthyes; Myliobatiformes; Myliobatidae. The transcript has 4 exons.
CCGCCUUCCCGUUUUCCUUCUUCAGGUAGGUCCAAUCAGCUCGUGAAUGACAAGACGCCGAGCGCUGUUCUCCAGACGUAUUAAAUAGGAUUGAAUGUUCUUUUGAAGACCUUGACUUGGAGUUACACACUGACUUCAGUUCUUUGCGGGAAUGGGACUCACUCUCAGGGCCUUGUGACGGGCUGCUUUUUGAUAUCCCAAGCGUGCUACCUGGAAGACUAGCGCACUUUCAGGAUGUCGAAUUUUGAUGGCUCCGGAGAUGUGCUGAUUCAAGGCCGAUGCCCCUGACUAAGGCGUUGCAGGAAAACACAGAACACGUGUGUCCAGAGACAUGAGCCUUUUUGGGGCUGACUCUCCGCGCUCAGAGCUCGGAAAGAGCGAUGCAACAGACUUUUAACAUCAUAAAUCAAGAUACAGGUCCUUCUGGCAUGUCGGUCCUACUAACCUGUCGGUCUUUGGGAUGUGAGAGGCAUCCAGACCACCCAUGUAGUCACAGGGAGUGGCAGGAGCUGAACCUGGGUCACAGAACUGUAAUCACGACAUUACGCGUCACCCCUGUUUCUACGAUUCUCAAACUACAUCGCUGGGUGUCCUGUCUGGUGGGGAGAGAUGUACCCCUGAUAGAACUGGGCUGAGUCCCCCACUCUUGCAUUCCUGUACGAUGGAUUUUCCAUACCAGGCCGGGAUGUGACCAGUCACAAUGCUCUCCAAUGUACACACAUUGACGUUUGUCAGAGUCUUCAAUGGCAUGCCAAACCUCCUUUCGUAUCAAAGUCCUGCAAUAUGACUGCUCCAGGUGACAGCCAUUCUUUAUGCAUUCAGGCUCUACCUCACGUCUCCUGCUGUAGUUUUUUUUUCACUGAUUCUAUUGUUCUACUGUGCCCGCAAGAAAACAAAUCUUGGGGUAAUAUAUGGUGACGUAUACUUGAUAAUACUUUGAUAAUGAAUUUACUUCAAACUUUUCCCAUCCUGAUGACAUGUAAUGACCUCUUCUGGCCUGUGCAUGGCGCCAGAGAGCAUUGGUUGCCACGGUUUUUAGAGCACCCAAAUUGGUUAAUUAUUGUUUAAUAAGAGUCAUUAAUUGUUUAGAGUUGUUUGUGUUUUUUUCUCAAGCGACUCGCUCUUUGUAAUGGGGCUUUCUGUUUAAGCAUGUUAUGUUUAUUUUGAUAGCCUUGGGGAUUCCGAUAUUCUUGUAUUGUUUAAGUGGACGCCCGAUUAGUGCUAAUCGCAGGGUCCAAGUUUUGAGAAUGUUACUCUCACUGUGUUGCUAGGCCGAGCCAUCAAUGUUCUUUAGGAAUUAUCAUGAAUUAACUCUCAUCGCCGUCUCUACUCUCAUCGUCUGUCUUUCCUCCGCACUUGGGUUCUGAUAUUGCCAGCGCACAUUGUGACAUGAAGCGUCUCAGCUGGAAAGUUGACUGUUAAUUCCCCUCCAUAGAUGCUGCCUGUCCUGCUGAUUUCCUCCAGCAUUCUGAGGUGUUUUUCUUUAUAUUUUUUUCUCUAUUCCUGCAACUUAUUCCCUCUCCCUGCAACUUAUUCCCUCUCCCUAACCCUGACCAACUCUCCCAAUGCUCUUGCCAUCCUUUUGCACCAGGAGUAAUUUUCAGCAGCCAGUGGUUUUGUGGGAUGAACUUGGAGCCCACACGAUCACAGGGACUCUACACAGAGGAGCUCUGGGGCCAGGAUUGAACUUCGGUCCCUGGAGGUGUGUAGCAGGAACGCUUACUGCUGUACCACUAUGCUGUCCUACUUACGAAGAGAGUCAAGGCAGAUGAAUAGACGGAGAUUUCAGUCUACAUAACUCUUUGUGAAAUGCCUGACCUCUCCAACAGCCCCCAGUACUCAACAAGUUAUGUUUGGUUCAUGAAAGAGGGAGCAAAGGAGGGUCGCACUGCUAUCAGACUUCUAUCACGUCUGUCAGAGGAACAAGAGGCUCUGCAGACCAAUCUAUCAUGAAAACCAGCCUCCAAUCCAUUGACUGUCUACAUCGCCCACUGCCUUAGCAAAGCAGCCAACACAAUCAAGGCCCCACCCAUCCCAGACAUUCUGUCUUCUCCCACUCCUGUCGAGCAGGAGAUGCAAAAGUCUGAAAGCAGGUACAACCAGGCUCAAGGACAGCUUCUAUUCAUAGUCAUAGUCAUAAUCAUAGUCAUACUUUAUUGAUCCCAGGGGAAAUUGGUUUUCAUUACAGUUGCCCAUAAAUAAUAAAUAGUAAUAAAACCAUAAAUAGUUAAAUAGGAAUAUGUAAAUUAUGGCAGGGAAUAAGUCCAGGACCAGCCUAUUGGCUCAGGGUGUCUGACCCACUGUUAUAACACUCUUAGAAGAUCCUCUGGUGUGAUAAAGAUGUACACUUGAUCUUCUAAUGUAUCUCAUCAUGGUCUUACCCCUCAUUUACCUGCUUACCUCUGUGACUGGAAAGAGAUUAGUUUUAUUUGUCACAUCUACGUUGAAACAUACAGUGAAAUGCCUUAUUUGCAUCAAAUCAAUUCAACAAGGAUUGUGCUGGGCAUUCUGCAAGUGUCACCACACCUCUGAUGCCCACAGAUCACUGAUCCUAAGCAGUAGGAAACUAGAGCAGCUGAAUCUAGUUUUAUAAAAUGUCGACUGUUUAUUCCACUCCAUAGAUCCCGUAGGUGCUUGACUGGCAUUUUUAUAUGCAUGUCAUAAUGCUUAAU